This is a long non-coding RNA of Sapajus apella (tufted capuchin), 474 nucleotides long. RefSeq lists it as uncharacterized. The record is from RefSeq and is a predicted model, not a curated record. NCBI's taxonomy places the organism in Eukaryota, Metazoa, Chordata, Mammalia, Primates, Cebidae. The transcript has 3 exons.
AAGGAGAACUACAAAACACUGCUCAAAGAAAUCAGAGAUGACACAAACAAAUGAAAAACAUUCCAUGUUCAUGAAUAGAAAGAAUCAUUAUCAUUAAAAGGGCCAUACUGCUCAAAGCAACUUAUACAUUCAAUGCUCUUCCUGUCAAACUAACAAUGAUAUAUUUCACAGAACUAGAGAAAACUAUUUUUAAAAUUCAUAUGAAACCAAAAGAAGACCCAAAUAGCCAAGACAAUUCUAAGCAAAAACAACAAAGCUGGAAGCAUCACGUUAUCCAACUUCAAACCAUACUAUAGGGCUAUAAUAACCAAAACAGCAUGGCACUGGUACAAAAACAGAUAUUUAGACCAAUGGAAUAGAAUAGAGAGGCCAGAAAUAAGACCACUCACCUACACCUAUCUGAUCUUUGACAAAGCUGACAAAAAUAAGCAAUGGGGAAAGGAUUCCCUAUUUAAUAAAUGGUGUUGGGAAAAC